CAUGAUGAGGCAGGGAUUGAUUUCCUCCUACAAUUCCCAGGUGACCAUCUGUGACUGACAGAAGUCAAGAGAGAGAACUCAAGGAAGGAAACUGGAGGAGCAACAAACAGCCAGAACCUGGAAGCAACCCAGAUGCCCCUCAACUGAAGAAUGAAUAGAGAAAAUGUCCAAAAUGUAUAAAUUGUACAUUUAUACAAUGAAGUACUACUCAGCAGAAAAAAGCAAUGGAAUCUUGAAAUUCGCAGGCAAAUGGAUGGAACUAGAAGAAACCAUCCUGAGUGAGGUAACCCAGUCACAAAAAGACAAAUAUGCAGAGCAACUGAAAGUGACACUUGAUUGUCUGCACUAAACAUUGAUGGGAAGUUGAAUCUGAGUUCAAUUCUACAGUGAAUGCUAGCGG
This 400-nucleotide long non-coding RNA is filed under the name Cricetulus griseus (Chinese hamster). RNAcentral describes it as "lncRNA (ENSCGRG00015033191.1)". Lineage: Eukaryota; Metazoa; Chordata; Mammalia; Rodentia; Cricetidae. The record is from RNAcentral.